This 464-nucleotide long non-coding RNA is filed under the name Monodelphis domestica (gray short-tailed opossum). Its description in RNAcentral is "lncRNA (ENSMODG00000043889.1)". Lineage: Eukaryota; Metazoa; Chordata; Mammalia; Didelphimorphia; Didelphidae. The record is from RNAcentral.
UAUCAUAAGUAAUAGUGUUAAUUUAUAAAUAACUUAUUUAUACAAAGUGAGAAGAUGUGAUCAAAAUAUUUUUACCGAAGGCAUGAACAAAAAAAUCUGGAGAGGACUGUUCUAAAGACAGAGAAGAAAUCUCUAAGAGUGUGCAUUGAAGUUGGUGGGGAAAGAACCCAGAUUUUGUCUGAAUUCAUAAAAAAUUCAAGGAUGGGUUUUAGAUAACGGAAACCUGAUGAGUGAAAAUCUGACUGGGCUCCCUGCCUUGUCCAGAGAAUCAAAUUUAAGAACUUUUUUGUAAACUCAGUUUGCUGCAAGGAUUGGUUGACCCAAUAUUAUGUAGAGCUGGAUUGUGUGAUUGGCCCAGCAAGUACUCCCUUAAUGAGGUUUGCAGUGCCCUGGUUAAAAGGAAAUUAUCAUCCAAAUUAAGAGGACUGGGCCUGCCAGUUUCAUCAAUAAGUUCAUUGCCCAUA